UUCAACACUACCAUCAUGGCUGGUUUUGUGAUCAGACGUUUGGUUGGCCGGUCUGACUUGAAGCAUGUGGCUAAACUGGUCAAACAAGAAGACUGGGGCGUGUCUCUCCCGAAUCUGAUGAACUUUUACGACAUAAGCCCCUCGGGCUGGUGGGUGGCAGAAAAGAGUGACGGUUCGGUCGUUGUUUAGGUACGUGCAAAAUGUUCACCCUGGAAGACAACACAACCUGUCAUGGUGGAAUGUAUGUUGUCGAUAAGCAACACAGAGAUCAAGGGAUCGGAACGAAACUGAGUAAUACAGCAAUCAGAGGAGCUCAGGAUA
RNAcentral lists this unclassified non-coding RNA (321 nucleotides) under Haliotis rufescens (red abalone). RNAcentral describes it as "uncharacterized LOC124116648, transcript variant X2". The record is from RNAcentral. Lineage: Eukaryota; Metazoa; Mollusca; Gastropoda; Lepetellida; Haliotidae.